GUAGUCAUAUGCUUGUCUCAAAGAUUAAGCCAUGCAUGUCUAAGUAUAAGCACUUAUACCGUGAAACUGCGAAUGGCUCAUUAAAUCAGUUAUAGUUUAUUUGAUAGUACCUUUACCUGGAUAACUGUGGUAAUUCUAGAGCUAAUACAUGCUAAAAACCUCGACUUCGGAAGGGGUGUAUUUAUUAGAUAAAAAACCAAUGCCCUUCGGGGCUCCUUGGUGAUUCAUAAUAACUUAACGAAUCGCAUGGCCUUGCGCCGGCGAUGGUUCAUUCAAAUUUCUGCCCUAUCAACUUUCGAUGGUAAGGUAGUGGCUUACCAUGGUCUCAACGGGUAACGGGGAAUUAGGGUUCUAUUCCGGAGAGGGAGCCUGAGAAACGGCUACCACAUCCAAGGAAGGCAGCAGGCGCGCAAAUUACCCAAUCCCAAUACGGGGAGGUAGUGACAAUAAAUACUGAUACGGGGCUCUUUCGGGUCUCGUAAUUGGAAUGAGUACAAUCUAAAUCCCUUAACGAGGAACAAUUGGAGGGCAAGUCUGGUGCCAGCAGCCGCGGUAAUUCCAGCUCCAAUAGCGUAUAUUAAAGUUGUUGCCGUUAAAAAGCUCGUAGUUGAACCUUGGGCCUGGCUGAUCUGUCCUCCUAAUCGAGCGUACGGAUUCGGUUGGGUCUUUCCUUCUGGGGAACCCUAUGCCCUUUAUUGGGUGUAGUGGGGAACCAGGACUUUUACCUUGAAAAAAUUAGAGUGUUCAAAGCAGGCCUUUGCUCGAAUACAUUAGCAUGGAAUAAUAGAAUAGGACAUCGGUUCUAUUUUGUUGGUUUCUAGGACUGCUGUAAUGAUAAUAGGGAUAGU
RNAcentral lists this ribosomal RNA (848 nucleotides) under uncultured fungus. RNAcentral's name for it is "SSU rRNA". It matches the Rfam family "Eukaryotic small subunit ribosomal RNA", at positions 20 to 882 of the family's 1831-position model. Lineage: Eukaryota; Fungi. The record is from RNAcentral.